ACCUAUGAUCAAGUCACCUGGAAUACACCCGAUCUCAUCAGAUCUCGGAAGCUAAACAAGUUGGAGCCUGGAACAUGCUUGGAUGGGUGACCACCAUCGCUAUGCACGUGGCUACCUGGAUU
RNAcentral lists this ribosomal RNA (122 nucleotides) under Petromyzon marinus (sea lamprey). The record is from RNAcentral. Lineage: Eukaryota; Metazoa; Chordata; Hyperoartia; Petromyzontiformes; Petromyzontidae.